GGAGGCGGCGGCGGCGGCGCGGGGGAGGGGGCGGGGGCGCGAUCGAUGGAAUAUAAUUUUCCUCAAACUCGGAAAAUAAAGUUCAGAGCUGAUCAAAUUUGAAAACAGAUGUCGAAUCGCGACUCUAAAUAAGGUCAGGCUCCGCCCCGCCAAGCCCCACACCACCUUCUCUGGGGAAAGGCAGCUCUCACCUGGGCAGCCCCUGGAGGCUCCUACCCCCAGAGGGGAAAAUAGGUCUCACGGCAAGACAGCAGUCCCCAGGUGGAUAUUCGGGGGCCAGGACAGCUCUGUCGGAUCUCACCAACCCCACCAGCGCCCAGGUGCU
This 325-nucleotide small RNA is filed under the name Pan troglodytes (chimpanzee). RNAcentral describes it as "processed transcript". The record is from RNAcentral. Lineage: Eukaryota; Metazoa; Chordata; Mammalia; Primates; Hominidae.